Molecule: long non-coding RNA, 241 nt
Organism: Ostrinia nubilalis (European corn borer)
Lineage: Eukaryota; Metazoa; Arthropoda; Insecta; Lepidoptera; Crambidae
Exons: 3
Source: RefSeq, a predicted model, not a curated record
GAGUGAGAGCGUGGCGCUCGCAGCCUACAGCAGUCGCUGGUACACUCGGAGCAGAAGGAUCUCUACACUACUCAACAUCAUCAUGUUAAGAUCUCAAACACCAGUUCAUAUGAAUGCUUCGAUCAUAAUAAUUAAAUUGGAAAACAUGUCAGUGAUAAUGAAAGAAGCUUGGUCAUAUAUGGGAAUUAUGGUGUAUUUGUUUUCAAUGUCUUGGGAUUUAUUAUAAGCUUUACAUCUAGUA